Molecule: ribosomal RNA, 211 nt
Filed under: uncultured bacterium
Lineage: Bacteria
Description: partial 16S ribosomal RNA
Rfam family: Bacterial small subunit ribosomal RNA
Source: RNAcentral
AAUCAACGCUGGCGGCGUGCCUCAGACAUGCAAGUCGAACGAUUAAAGCUCUCUUCGGAGAGUGUAUAGAGUGGCACACGGGUGAGUAACACGUAAGUAAUCUACCUUUGAGUGGGGAAUAACGUCCGGAAACGGACGCUAAUACCGCAUAAUGCAGCGGCAUCGCAAGAUGACAGUUGUUAAGAUUAUCGCUUGAAGAGGAGCUUGCGGC